This 476-nucleotide ribosomal RNA is filed under the name uncultured Flavihumibacter sp. Its description in RNAcentral is "bacterial SSU rRNA". It matches the Rfam family "Bacterial small subunit ribosomal RNA", at positions 411 to 887 of the family's 1533-position model. The record is from RNAcentral. Lineage: Bacteria; Pseudomonadati; Bacteroidota; Chitinophagia; Chitinophagales; Chitinophagaceae.
AUGUACCCGGGUCUGCACUGCCUAUUCAUCACACGCGACAAAUGAGCGUUCUCUGAGUGUAUUCCCCGUACCAUAACAAGAUCCACCUGCUAGCUACGACCGAGCGGUCGCGGUAAACGGAAGGUACGGGCGUUAUCCGGAUUUACUGGGUUUAAAGGGUGCGUAGGCAGAACUGUAAGUCCGUGGUGAAAUCUCCCAGCUUAACUCGGAAACUGCCGUGGGUACUGUGGUUCUUGAAUGUUGUGGAGGUUUGCGGAAUAUGUCAUGUAGCGGUGAAAUGCUUAGAUAUGACAUAGAACACCGAUCGCGAAGGCACCAUGCUACGCAAAUAUUGACGCUGAGGCACGAAUUAGAUACCCUGGAACUCGAUUACAUACCCUGGUAGUCCACGCCCUAAACGAUGAUUACUCUCCAUGCGCCAUACACAGUGUGUGUCUGACCGAAAGCAUUAUAUAGUCCACCUGUUAAGUACCACG